Molecule: ribosomal RNA, 497 nt
Filed under: uncultured bacterium
Lineage: Bacteria
Description: partial 16S ribosomal RNA
Rfam family: Bacterial small subunit ribosomal RNA
Source: RNAcentral
GAUGAACGCUGGCGGCGUGCCUAAUACAUGCAAGUCGAGCGAACAGACGAGGAGCUUGCUCCUCUGACGUUAGCGGCGGACGGGUGAGUAACACGUGGAUAACCUACCUAUAAGACUGGGAUAACUUCGGGAAACCGGAGCUAAUACCGGAUAAUAUAUUGAACCGCAUGGUUCAAUAGUGAAAGACGGUUUUGCUGUCACUUAUAGAUGGAUCCGCGCCGCAUUAGCUAGUUGGUAAGGUAACGGCUUACCAAGGCAACGAUGCGUAGCCGACCUGAGAGGGUGAUCGGCCCCACUGGAACUGAGACACGGUCCAGACUCCUACGGGAGGCAGCAGUAGGGAAUCUUCCGCAAUGGGCGAAAGCUUGACGGAGCAACGCCGCGUGAGUGAUGAAGGUCUUCGGAUCGUAAAACUCUGUUAUUAGGGAAGAACAAAUGUGUAAGUACCUAUGCACGUCUUGACGGUACCUAAUCAGAAAGCCACGGCUAACUACGUG